GACGAACGCUGGCGGCGUGCUUAACACAUGCAAGUCGUACGGUAAGGCCCUUUCGGGGGUACCCGAGUGGCGAACGGGUGAGUAACACGUGAGUAACCUGCCCACAACUUUGGGAUAACGCUAGGAAACUGGUGCUAAUACUGGAUAUGUGCUCCUGCUGCAUGGUGGGGGUUGGAAAGCUCCGGCGGUUGUGGAUGGACUCGCGGCCUAUCAGCUUGUUGGUGGGGUAGUGGCCUACCAAGGCGGCGACGGGUAGCCGGCCUGAGAGGGUGACCGGCCACAUUGGGACUGAGAUACGGCCCAGACUCCUACGGGAGGCAGCAGUGGGGAAUAUUGCACAAGGGGCGCAAGCCUGAUGCAGCAACGCCGCGUGCGGGAUGACGGCCUUCGGGUUGUAAACCGCUUUCAGCAGGGACGAAGCUUUUUGUGACGGUACCUGCAGAAGAAGCACCGGCUAACUACGUG
RNAcentral lists this ribosomal RNA (465 nucleotides) under uncultured bacterium. Its description in RNAcentral is "partial 16S ribosomal RNA". It matches the Rfam family "Bacterial small subunit ribosomal RNA", at positions 28 to 507 of the family's 1533-position model. The record is from RNAcentral.